AUGCGGAUGAAGCUCAAAGCGGCGUAUACUUUGAUUGAACAGUUAUAUUCUGGGUCUCAGCGGGCUAUUUGCACAGCGGCUUACAACAAACCGGCACCAACCCUGAUAAAAGAAACACUUGAGAAACUGGCCAUGUUACCAGCCCGGAUUGUCGAAUUGAAGAAGGCAGCUGCAAGAGCAGGAGCUUUAAUCGCACUUAUUCGAGCCAAAGCCUGGAUUCCAGACCUUGAAGCGGAGGAUGUCAUAAAAGGAUACCCAGGCGUGAAGGAGGACGGUGCAAACUUCGACAAUGAUGACCUCCGGCGGCUGACCAAAGAGAUGCGGCCAAUAGCCAGCAAGCUGGCCGAAGAUACAGACUUGUCCCAUUUUCAACCGGCUUAUGACGCUGAAGGGAAAAGACAACCUGCCAUAAUCCAUGAAGUUGAAGAACUUGUGGCUCCGAUUCGUAAGCACACUUAUGCUCCUGAUAUUAAUCCAUCCAAUCUUAUCCAUUAA
Molecule: ribosomal RNA, 495 nt
Filed under: Triticum aestivum (bread wheat)
Lineage: Eukaryota; Viridiplantae; Streptophyta; Magnoliopsida; Poales; Poaceae
Description: partial small subunit ribosomal RNA
Source: RNAcentral